UCAAACUUGGUCAUUUAGAGGAAGUAAAAGUCGUAACAAGGUUUCCGUAGGUGAACCUGCGGAAGGAUCAUUAUUGAAUUUGUAGUUUUCUUUCAAAGAAAGCUCUCCUUCUCUAUCCAUAUACACCUGUGCACUACAAUAGAGUUGUUAAAAAAACUCUAAUACCUUUUUUUUUUAUAAACAAUGUUUAAUAGAAUGUUACAAGUACUCGUUGUAAUGACGAGGACAACCUUAAUAAAACUUUCAACAACGGAUCUCUUGGCUCUGGCAUCGAUGAAGAACGCAGC
This 287-nucleotide unclassified non-coding RNA is filed under the name uncultured fungus. Its description in RNAcentral is "partial contains small subunit ribosomal RNA, internal transcribed spacer 1, and 5.8S ribosomal RNA". The stretch from base 1 to 73 matches the Rfam family "Eukaryotic small subunit ribosomal RNA", at positions 1759 to 1831 of the family's 1831-position model. The record is from RNAcentral. Lineage: Eukaryota; Fungi.